This 253-nucleotide ribosomal RNA is filed under the name uncultured bacterium. Its description in RNAcentral is "partial 16S ribosomal RNA". It matches the Rfam family "Bacterial small subunit ribosomal RNA", at positions 524 to 776 of the family's 1533-position model. The record is from RNAcentral.
UACGUAGGGGGCAAGCGUUGUCCGGAAUCAUUGGGCGUAAAGAGCGUGUAGGCGGCCCGAUAAGUCCGCUGUGAAAGUCCAGGGCUCAACCCUGGAAUGCCAGUGGAAACUGUCGGGCUAGAGUCCGGAAGAGGCGAGUGGAAUUCCUGGUGUAGCGGUGAAAUGCGCAGAUAUCAGGAGGAACACCGGUGGCGAAGGCGGUUCUCUGGGCCUUACCUGACGCUGAGGAGCGAAAGCGUGGGGAGCAAACAGG